RNAcentral lists this ribosomal RNA (257 nucleotides) under uncultured prokaryote. RNAcentral's name for it is "partial 16S ribosomal RNA". It matches the Rfam family "Bacterial small subunit ribosomal RNA", at positions 521 to 777 of the family's 1533-position model. The record is from RNAcentral.
UAAUACAGAGGGAGCAAGCGUUGUUCGGAAUUACUGGGCGUAAAGGGCUCGUAGGUGGCCAACUAAGUCACACGUGAAAUCCCUCGGCUUAACCGGGGAACUGCGUGUGAUACUGGAUGGCUUGAGUUUGGGAGAGGGAUGCGGAAUUCCAGGUGUAGCGGUGAAAUGCGUAGAUAUCUGGAGGAACACCGGUGGCGAAGGCGGCAUCCUGGACCAAUACUGACGCUGAGGAGCGAAAGCCAGGGGAGCAAACGGGA